UAUUUUUAAAAAAAUGAGAGCUAUUGCAACGGUAUGUGUUGUAUUAUGAAAAAUUUAGAAGCGCGCAUUUCUUCCCUCUAUUUUUUUCACCAAAUAUUUGAACAAUACUUGUCUUUAAUUUGCUUCCCUCUAUUCACAAUUGUCAAGUACAGUACCAUUUUCCCCCUUUUCUCCAAUUUUCCCCAUUCUCACCUUAAUUGAUUAUAGAGGACCAUUUUCACAGUACCAUUUUUCCAACUUCUACAUUUUCUCAUCUUCUCAGAUCUCAUAUUUUCACAGUAGAUGAGAAGGAGUACGUUUUUGUUGUAGUUGUUGCAUCUGAUUUAAAACCCAGACCUCAAAACUACCAACAAUGGCGCAACCACCGCACUCAUAUACCGAACUCUUCUGCGACCCAAUCUACGAUUUAACCCCUUUAUGGUUCAAGAACAACCUCUUUCUCCCUCCUUUCGACUCCGAAUCCUACAUCUCUAACCUUCAAACCCAGUCCUCUCUCGCUGCACUCAAUUAAUCUCAAGUUACUGGUAUGUAUUUUGAAACAAUUAAAUUUAUUAUAGUAUAAUUUGUUGAAAAUGGCUCUAUUUAGUUGUUAAAUGCUAUAAUUUCUCAAAAAUUAAGCUACUAUUUUUUUAAUUAGGGUUUUCGUAAGUAAUUGCUUUUAUAAUUCUGAUGUCAUCAAUUUUGUUAAAUUAAUUUUGCAUUUUUGCUGGUUUGAUUGAGAGAAAGAGAACGAUUAAGGUGAGCAAUCUUCUUAAUACUCUUUCUGUUCUACAGUCUUACCGUAGUACUACAUUUUUUUUUCUUAUUUAUGGUUUCCUUGCGUUUUGUUUAAAUUUUUGUGUUUUCAAUUUUUCUUUUUCUGCUCAAUUUUUUUAUUCUUUACUAUUCAAUUGAUCUAAAUGUAUUGGCUGACGAGAUCAUUGAAUUGUUUGUGAGCUAAUUGCAGCACACCAUCCCAUUAUUGAGUCUUCAGAAGCAGGUGCAUGAGCAGUUGGUAUGCUUGAACCUACAUGUUCUGCUUUUUGGCUAAUACCUUGUAGUUUUUUUCGUAGUAUCCUUUUUAACUUUAAUUGUUUAGUGUAUGUUUGGCUUUAGGCUGUACUAGUUCUGUGGCUUUCUUUUUGGUGAAUGUUUUAUUUCACAGCAUGCAUAUUAUCUUAUGAUUACCGAUCUUCCACUGCUCUCCUUCUAAACACUUCCCUCUUUCAAACAAAAAAUGAAAUAGAGGGUCGUAAUUGCUUGAAAACCAAACCCGAUUUCCUCGGCUUUUUGUAAUUCCUCUUUUUUUCACCCUUUGAUUUGGAUAAUGAAGAGUCAAUGAUAGAUUGAUAGUAGUCUUAGUGGAUUCUUGAUUUUUCUCUUCAAUGUAAAUUAAGGCAACGACACUUGGGCGAUAUCAAUGUCUCAUGCUUUGGUGUGUCAACCGGAUUUAUGGAAGUUGUUCACUAGGGCAGUGAUGUAUCAUACUAUAACAUUUUUGCCUAACUUACUUUGCCUAUUUAAAAUGUAGAAUAACAUGCUCAGAAAUACAACAAGGUUCAGUACACUUGUUGAAUUGGUCCCCGUAAAACUAUGAGGCUAGGGCGGGAUGAAAAUUAGAGGUAAAUUUAGGUGCAUGGAUGCAAACUAGUGUCAAGUAAAUCUAAUAAGUCAUAAAAAUAAUAUGCCAAGAAUUUGGGCAUUUUAAUAUGAACAUCUUGCAUUCUUGUCAAACUUUUGGGACGGUAGGUAGAGGCAAAAAAAAAUCUCCUGGUAAACCGCAUGCUCAAAAGGUAUUGUAUAUAUUAGGCCCAGCUUUUUAGUUGAGGUUUCUAAUCUUACUUAAACAAGUAGUAUAUCAUAUCGAUGAAUAUUUCAUGGUUUUUUUUUUUUCUGUAAGUUCAUGAGCUCAUCAGAACACUUAGUCUUACAUAGUUCAAUAUACUGUCAUGUAUGAACUUGUGUCAGAAUGUUGGAAAAAGAUAUUAUACGUCCUGUUUUUAUGCCUAGUUGGUAUUUUAACUUGUCAUGGCUGUCGUUUGAGAAGAAAUGGAGAAUGUAACAUUCAUAUAGAGAUUCAAAGUCUUAGAAGAGGACUGUAAAUAUGCCUGAUUUUAUUUUUGCUAUGCAAAUUGUUUAUGUGCUUAUUGCCUUGGGUAUAUUUGUCUUCUAUUUUCAGAAUAAGAAUUGGUUUUCUGAUAUUAUUAAUUGCAGGAGGCUCCAAAAUUCUGCCAUAUGUGGACACUGAUCUGAAGAAAAUAGCUGCUAGGGUCAUAGAGAAGGCUAAAGAGUUGUGCUACUCUAAAUCGAAGGAAACUUGGAGAGGUCUUAUCAGCGUUUGAGUUCUUGGAUAGUCAUGCAAUGGACGCGGAUAUUGUUAUAAAUAAUGAUUAGUAAUUCAUAGAUCUGAAAUUGGAUGAUGGUUAUGUAUCCAGAGAGAGGUUUGAGACGUUCUUGUUUGGCUUGAUGGAAAGUGGUUUAAUAUUAGAUGGUGUGGUUGCACAAGACAUAAAUCAAGUAUCUUCAUUUUGGCGUAUUCGUGAGGUGCAUGAGGAGUUAAAUGCAGCGGAAGAAUAGUGACUAGUCAUCUAACAAAUGGUGCAUAUUAUGUUGGCGACUCUUAUUCAAGUUCCGGCUUUGUGAAGAUUUGACAAUUUCGGCUUAUUGGACGAUUAAAUUCCUUAUAUAACUUUUUUUUUAAUUAGUAGGGUAUGUCAUACCAAAAACAAGCGAGUAAUAUUUUGUAAUGUACGUAUUUCGCAUUAUAAUUAUUAUAUAUAAAUGAUACUUUAUUUUGUUUUUUGUUAGUAUAUUUAGAUUUGUACUAACUAAUUAUACAUAUAUUAUAUUACCAUUCCAUCCCAACA
Chenopodium quinoa (quinoa) is the source of this 2846-nucleotide long non-coding RNA. RefSeq lists it as uncharacterized. The transcript has 4 exons. Lineage: Eukaryota; Viridiplantae; Streptophyta; Magnoliopsida; Caryophyllales; Amaranthaceae. The record is from RefSeq and is a predicted model, not a curated record.